RNAcentral lists this ribosomal RNA (471 nucleotides) under uncultured bacterium. Its description in RNAcentral is "SSU rRNA". It matches the Rfam family "Bacterial small subunit ribosomal RNA", at positions 26 to 518 of the family's 1533-position model. The record is from RNAcentral.
AGGACGAACGCUGGCGGCGUGCUUAACACAUGCAAGUCGAGCGGAAAGGCCCUUCGGGGUACUCGAGCGGCGAACGGGUGAGUAACACGUGAGUAAUCUGCCUUCAGCUCUGGGAUAGCUCCGGGAAAACCGGGAUUAAUACCGGAUAUGACCACUUCGGACAUCUGUUGUGGUGGAAAGUUUUUCGGCUGGAGAUGAGCUCGCGGCCUAUCAGCUUGUUGGUGGGGUAAAGGCCUACCAAGGCGACGACGGGUAGCCGGCCUGAGAGGGCGACCGGCCACACUGGGACUGAGACACGGCCCAGACUCCUACGGGAGGCAGCAGUGGGGAAUAUUGCGCAAUGGGCGGAAGCCUGACGCAGCGACGCCGCGUGGGGAUGAAGGCCUUCGGUUGUAACCCUUUCAGCAGGGACGAAGCGCAAGUGACGGUACCUGCAGAAGAAGCGCCGGCUAACUACGUGCCAGCAGCCGC